CCUACGGGCGGCAGCAGUGGGGAAUAUUGCACAAUGGGGGAAACCCUGAUGCAGCGACGCCGCGUGAGUGAAGAAGUAUCUCGGUACGUAAAGCUCUAUCAGCAGGGAAGAAAAUGACGGUACCUGACUAAGAAGCCCCGGCUAACUACGUGCCAGCAGCCGCGGUAAUACGUAGGGGGCAAGCGUUAUCCGGAUUUACUGGGUGUAAAGGGAGCGUAGACGGCAGCAGAAGUCUGGAGUGAAAUCCCGGGGCUUAACCACGGAACUGCUUUGGAAACUGUGAGGCUGGAGUGCAGGAGGGGUAGGCGGAAUUCGUGGUGUAGCGGUGAAAUGCGUAGAUAUUAGGAGGAACACCGGUGGCGAAGGCGGCUUACUGGACUGUAACUGACGUUGAGGCUCGAAAGCGUGGGGAGCAAACAGGAUUAGAUACCCCUGUAGUC
This 440-nucleotide ribosomal RNA is filed under the name uncultured bacterium. RNAcentral describes it as "partial 16S ribosomal RNA". It matches the Rfam family "Bacterial small subunit ribosomal RNA", at positions 338 to 795 of the family's 1533-position model. The record is from RNAcentral.